This 383-nucleotide ribosomal RNA is filed under the name uncultured bacterium. RNAcentral describes it as "bacterial SSU rRNA". It matches the Rfam family "Bacterial small subunit ribosomal RNA", at positions 28 to 420 of the family's 1533-position model. The record is from RNAcentral.
GACGAACGCUGGCGGCGUGCUUAACACAUGCAAGUCGAGGGCUCGGGGCAACCCGAGACCGGCGAACGGGUGCGUAACACGUGAGCGACCUGCCCUGGAGUGGGGAUAGCCGGCCCAACGGCCGGGUAAUACCGCAUGCGCUUCUUUGGGGACAUCCCCGAGGAAGGAAAGUAGCAAUACGCUCGAGGAGGGGCUCGCGGCCUAUCAGCUAGUUGGCGGUGUCACGGACCACCAAGGCGACGACGGGAGCUGGUCUGAGAGGAUGGCCAGCCACAUUGGGACUGAGAGACGGCCCAGACUCCUACGGGAGGCAGCAGUGGGGAAUCUUGCGCAAUGGCCUAACGGCUGACGCAGCGACGCCGCGUGUGGGACGACGCCUCGGU